AACGAACGCUGGCGGCAUGCCUAACACAUGCAAGUCGAACGAGACCUUCGGGUCUAGUGGCGCACGGGUGCGUAACGCGUGGGAACCUGCCCUUAGGUUCGGAAUAACUCCCCGAAAGGGGUGCUAAUACCGGAUAAUGUCUUCGGACCAAAGAUUUAUCGCCUUUGGAUGGGCCCGCGUUGGAUUAGCUAGUUGGUAGGGUAAAAGCCUACCAAGGCGACGAUCCAUAGCUGGUCUGUGAGGAUGAUAAGCCACACUGGGACUGAGACACGGCCCAGACUCCUACGGGAGGCAGCAGUGGGGAAUAUUGGACAAUGGGCGAAAGCCUGAUCCAGCAAUGCCGCGUGAGUGAUGAAGGCCUUAGGGUUGUAAAGCUCUUUUACCCGGGAUGAUAAUGACAGUACCGGGAGAAUAAGCUCCGGCUAACUCCGUG
This 433-nucleotide ribosomal RNA is filed under the name uncultured bacterium. Its description in RNAcentral is "partial 16S ribosomal RNA". It matches the Rfam family "Bacterial small subunit ribosomal RNA", at positions 29 to 507 of the family's 1533-position model. The record is from RNAcentral.